CAGUGGAUGAUUCAGGGGGGUCCCGGGAUUGGAACCCUCCCUUUUGUUUUGGUCGAUCAAUUUAUUUAAAUGGGGACAUGUAGUUGAAACCCACUCUUUUUUACAUGGGUUAGGAACCCCUUUUUAAAUUGUUGCAUCUGUCACUGCAAAAGGGAUAUUGUAAAAAUAUGAUUUAAUAUUUAGAAAUAUUGUCAAUGACAAUGGAGUUUUUAGAGAUCAGUGGAUACAUGUACCUCGA
Molecule: long non-coding RNA, 238 nt
Filed under: Mytilus galloprovincialis (Mediterranean mussel)
Lineage: Eukaryota; Metazoa; Mollusca; Bivalvia; Mytilida; Mytilidae
Source: RNAcentral